GCCUCGGUAGUGUAAUGGAUCAGCACAGCAGACCGGAUAUCUGGAGGUGCGAGUUCGCGUCCCGCCAGAGGUU
RNAcentral lists this transfer RNA (73 nucleotides) under Dictyocaulus viviparus (bovine lungworm). It matches the Rfam family "tRNA". Rfam says of the family: Transfer RNA (tRNA) molecules are approximately 80 nucleotides in length. Lineage: Eukaryota; Metazoa; Nematoda; Chromadorea; Rhabditida; Metastrongylidae. The record is from Rfam by way of RNAcentral.